This 862-nucleotide ribosomal RNA is filed under the name uncultured archaeon. Its description in RNAcentral is "partial 16S ribosomal RNA". The record is from RNAcentral.
CUCCACCCGUUGUGGUGCUCCCCCGCCAAUUCCUUUAAGUUUCAGCCUUGCGGCCGUACUUCCCAGGUGGCUCGCUUCACGGCUUCCCUACGGCACCGACAACGGUCGCACCGUGGCCGACACCUAGCGAGUAUCGUCUACGGCUAGGACUACCCGGGUAUCUAAUCCGGUUCGUGCCCCUAGCUUUCGUCCCUUGCCGUCAGGUCCGUUCUGGUGAGACGCCUUCGCCACUGGUGGUCCUUCAAGGAUUACAAGAUUUCACCCCUACCCCUGAAGUACCUCUCACCUCUCCCGGCCUCGAGCCAGACAGUAUCUCCUGAAAGCCUGACAGUUAAGCUGCCAGAUUUCUCAAGAGACUUAUCCGGCCGGCUACAGACCCUUUAGACCCAAUAAUAACGGUUACCACUCGAGCCGCCGGUGUUACCGCGGCGGCUGGCACCGGUCUUGCCCGGCCCUUGCUAUGAAAUGCUUUUUAGGCAUCUCGACAGCCAGAUUUGUAACCUGGCACUCGAGGUUCCCUUAUCGCUGUUGCCAGCAUUGUAAAGUUUUCGCGCCUGCUGCACCCCGUAGGGCCUGGAUUCGUGUCUCAGAAUCCAUCUCCGGGCUCUUGCUCUCACAACCCGUACCCGUCGUAGGCUAGUAGGUACGCUACACCCACUACUACCUGAUAGGCCGCAGACCCAUCCUUAGGCGCCGGAGCUUUAAAUCUCGAUGCAUUCCAGCAAUCGAGACCUAUCGGGUAUUAUACCCAGUUUCCCGGGUUUAUACCCAACCUAAAGGGCAGGUUGUCCACGUGUUACUGAGCAGUUCGCCAUGUAUUGCUACAUUCGACUCGCAUGGCUUAGUCGAACCUCGAUAGCAG